RNAcentral lists this long non-coding RNA (19676 nucleotides) under Eucalyptus grandis. RNAcentral describes it as "long non-coding RNA (EGRA_LNC002485)". The record is from RNAcentral. Lineage: Eukaryota; Viridiplantae; Streptophyta; Magnoliopsida; Myrtales; Myrtaceae.
AUUGGCAAAAUCUGAAAUCUCUUCGACAUUGCUCAUUUGUUUCACUUCUUGUGCAACCUUCUCUUGUAUCGUUGGAUGUUUGCAGAGCAUGUAGAUGAACCAGGAAAGCGUGGCUGCAGUUGUGUCUUUGCCAGCAAUAAUGAAGUUGAGUAUUAUAUCCCGCAAGUACGUCUGGUCAGUCUCUGUCACUUGGAGAAACCUCGACAAUAUGUCUUCUUUCUUCAUCUGCAAGUUCCAUGCAACAUUCCGUCAUGAUAUUUCCAUUAAGAAGUGGAGCUGGAGGAUUGUCAACUUACAGAAGGAUCGUCUGUCGAAUUGUGCAUUUGCUCAAUCUUCCUCCUAAUGAGCUUAUACACAAAAUUGUCCAUUAUCCUGAUGUUUUUCUUCAGCGCUGCUUCUGAUCCAAUAUUCAGAAAUUUCUUAAUUUUCCAGGAGAUGUCAACAUAUCGCCGUAGGGUGAUUGCACUUGCAUCAUCAAAAGCACGACUGAAUUCAGCGCCCUCUUCAUUUGUUCCACACAUGCUAUCCAAUUCGACUCCAAAUGCAACUUUAAAUAUGGAAUCCAGAGUUGACUUCAUAAAUAAAUCCUGCAUAAAGCAUCUGGUUAUAUAUAUGAUGAGGAAAUUACAGCAAGAUUAGCUAAGUCAUAUCUGAUAAUGCAAAAUUUACCUGCAUGUCUACAAUUUGGUUAGUACUUGCUGCUUCAGACAAUGUGUUUGCUAAUUUAGCAGCAGUUCUUCGGAAGACCACACUGCUGAAGUCUCUCAACACUUUCCUGGAGAACUCAUAGCUUGACACUUUCCUCUGUUGGCGCCACUUAUUGCCAUCGACUGCGAAAAUUCCGUCCCCUAAUAGAUCCUUUAGAAGGCUGUUGUUGUACCAUCCCUGCACAAAGGUUUUUACUUUUAAGUCAUACCAUGCAAUCCUCAAGCUUGUACUUCUGUACGAAAUCUCCACGAAUAACCAGCUAUUUUUCUACCGACUCUCUCACAGCUCCUUUAAUAUCCAGAAAUGAAAUCCAGGAAUGCUUCACCUUGUUAUGACAAUUCCAGAUUUAAAAGCACAACUAUUAAGUAGAUUUCUUGCAUGAAUGAAAUCAACAAAAUCUUAGAACCCCAUUAACCAGUGUAAUCUCACUCUUUUAAACUAGUAAAUUGAACACUAAUUGACUAUCUAGCUCUUGCUUGGCUAAUGUCACUAGUAUUAGCUAGGGCCAUCAAAUGAGUGGGCCGGGUCGGGUUGAGGCGAGUUUGGAUUGGGUCGAAAAUGUUCUAACCCAUAGUGACCCAUUUAACCCAUUUAAACCUAUUUUAACCAUUUUUCAUGCAAUGUAAAUUUGAUGACUCAUAUUUGACUUGACUUGACCUAUACCCGACCCGACCUAUAUUAUGGGAAUACAUUAAUAUUUAACUCAAUUUAGGUCAAUCCACUCUCACUCAUUUAAUUCACUUUAAGCUCUUCACAUAUAUGUUACUUAAAUAAAACCUUCACAUCAAAUUUAAAAAGUAAAUCAAACAAUAAAAAAAUUAAUAAAAAAAAUAAAAAAAAUGUGAAAAACCUUUAAUUAAGUCUAAUAAAGCUUAUUUCUUAUCAUAUUUUAAAAAAAAUAAUAUUGCUAAAACACUUUCAUGUAAUACAAAUUUUAUGGACAACUUUUAUAUUUUUUUAAAUAUUUUAAAAAAAUCCAAAUUUUAAUUAUUUUUUCAAUUAUUUUUCUCUCUUCUUUUAUUUUUAUUUUUUUAUUUUUUUUUUCAGCCGACUGCUGGCCACGAUGAAGGUGAGCUUGAAGCUUGCCAGAUCAACAAGAUUGAGCUUGCUCGACGCCGGCAAGCUCGAGUCUCACCAAAUCGAUGAGCCUUGAGCCUCGCCAGUCAUUUGGCGACCUCGAGCUCGCUUGAUGCCAAUGAGCUUGAGCCUUGCCUAGCCAAUCACCAACCAUUGUUGUGCUGGCCAUUGGCUAAAGAAGGAGGGAAAAGGAAAAAAAAAGAAUAAAAGAAAAAGAAAAACGAAAUAUAAAAAAUAAUUGUAAUUUUAAUUUUUAUAAAAAAAUUAUAAAGUUAAAGAGGGAAAGAGAGAAUGUGCGGCUUGGGUUGAAAAUGGAUCUUAAGUCCAACCCAUUUAAGACCCUUUCAUCUUGAAUUUUCAAUUUUUAAACUCAUUUAACUAGUCUCUUCAAAAUGUAAGUGACUCAUGUAUGACCCAUUUAUGGUUCAAGACCCAUUUUGACACCUCUAGUGUUAGCUAACAAAUAGCAACCACAACUAGCUACCUACCCGACAUGCCACAAACAUCAGUGGUGCUAACAUUUCACCAAGGCUACUGGCUCUAAAGGGAACCAGCUCACCCACCCCAUUAAAAAAACCAAGGGCGUGUUUGGUCACGAUUUUGUUCCGGGGAACAAUUUUUUAUUUGAAAUUUUUUUUUCUAAUUCUGCUAUCGGGAACAAUUUCUGAGCAAAAGAAUGUGUUUGGUAACUUCCUAAAAUUUCUAGUUCUAGGAUAGAAAUACGUUUGGUAGGAUUCUUGGAUUUUUUUUAUUUCUUUUAAUUUUUAAUUAUUUUAUUAUAUUUUCUUUUUUUUUUCCUUUUUUCUUUUUCCUUUGGCCAAUCGCCGGCUAUCGCAGUGGCUGAUGAUCCGUUGGGCAAGGCCCAGCGAGCUCACCGGAGGCCAACCUAGCCACGAUGAGCCUCGGCCUCGCCUUGGCCUGGCGAGGCCCAGCCUCGUGCCAACUAGGGAGGCCCAGCCUUGCAGUGGCUCGGCAUCUCUGAGGGCCAGCGAUGCUCUAGCGAGGUUGCCGGCCCUCGUCUGGCUAGUUGCCGACGCCGGCUAUGGCCAAGGCUGGCCAAAAGGAAGAAGAAGAAGAAGAAAAAAGAAAAAGAGAGAAAAAAAUGGAUUCUGGAAAUUUUUCUCGGGAACAAGAAGCUAUUUUUUCUACUUUUUAUUUCUAUUCCAAAUUUAUUCCCUAAAACAAAAAUAUAAAUUUUUUGUUCCCGGAAAUAAAAAAUUUAACCAAACAAGUUUCUAUUCUUUUUUUGUUCCCUGAAACAAAAGAAUAGAAAUAGUUGUUCCGAGGAACAAAAACAAAAUUUACCAAACAAGGCUUAAAUUGCCCACGCUAGCCUGCAAAAAAAUAGGACCACCAGCAUCGCAAAGGGAUAACCAGUCACCAGCCCAUCAAUGCCAAAUGGCAAGAAUUUUAUGGUAAACGUAUGUGAGACACUACCAAAUAUUUGAAAUGCAUGCCCCUUUGUAUCUGCGAAGAGAUAUGAUAGAAUUAUUAAACAUUAAAUCACGUUUUUCAAUCUAAUAGUUUAAGUUUUUAAAAUACUGAACGGUCAUCCCAUAGAAUCUUAUAUGAUAUCUGAACACGAGCUCAUAAGUUCAAGGCAUACAUGUUCAUUGACGUAGGCACUUUGACUAUAGUCACCCAGUUGUUUGGAUCAAUAGAUGUGAAGCAUCAUAUGAUCAAUCUUUCGACUGAGCGAACUUUCUUCCCCCCAAGGGAAAAGGAGCCCCAUUACGUCCUCUCCCAUAGGCAAUAACAAACAACAAACUAUUCAUGGGCACUUCAUAAUAUCCAUCAACAACCCUGCACCCCAACGUACCUUGCCGUAAUUCUCAAAGUUGGUCUUGAGCAUGUACUCCACGUUGGCCGGGUCAGAGGUGUAGACCUCGCUCCUGAAAGGGCGGAGCAACCUGUAGGUCCUGUGCUUGGCUGCGAGGUCGGUCAUGUAGUGGUGCAGACGGCCGAAGUUCAGGAGUUGGUUCAAGACUGUCCCAGCGACGGGGUGGUACUUCUUGGCUGUCGCCGCUGCCGCUGGCUUGCUGCGGUGUUGCUUCCAUGUCUUGGCGAAGAGAUAGGCGAAAGCUAGAGCCAAGACCAGGGCCGAAGCUGUGAAGAAGGUUGGGUCGGAGAUGAAACCCGGGGCCAUGUUUAGAGCAGGCAGCGGAGGAGGAAGUGAUCGUGGUCAGUGGGAUUCGUGCUUUCUUAUAGGCGGGUUUCUUGUUCUGUUUGACGAAGGAGUACGAGGAGUCACGUCGCGAGAGAAAGAAGUCACUGUCAUGAUGUGAGAGGUAACCGAUACCUGGUCUGAUUAAAAAGUGCAAUAACUCCAACCAAAAUAUUUGGUGAAAUGCUUAAAUCGGAUGUGAUAAUGUUGUGUCAGAUCCUGGUGUCAUACACUCAGGCUCGGGGUGUUAAUGGUUUAGAUCGAUUCGAUUUUUUAAAAAAAUCGAACCGAAUUAAACCGUUAGAAAAAUCUUUUGAAUUGAAUCAAAUGAGAACCGAAUUCAGUUUGAUUCGAUUUUUCGAUUUUUAGCUUUUGGUUUUUUUUUUUAAUGUUCAAUUUAAAAUAAUUGAAAUUCAAUAUGUUACUGCACUUCAAGCUUAGAGGAUUUUACAAUUUAGAUCAUAUACUUCAUUCUCUUUUUUAAGUAUUGGCCAAAUAAUGAUAUCCAACUUAAACAAUUGCUUAACAUAAUCUCUCUUGAUAAUUCUCUAAGAGACAAUUCUAUUGUUCAAUAUUCAAAAAAUUAACCUCAAAUCCUUGCUCACAAAUCAGGUCGAUAUAAUUUACCACGAGAACUGCAGCAUCUCUGAAUAUGUCAACAUGAGAAGUGUGAAAAAAAGGACUUUCUCAAUAUCACAAGUGUGCCAUUGCUGGGUAAAUUAGAAUUGACGGAUAGAUGGGCAAAACACAUGAGGUACAGAGAGAUUCAUAUGAUCCUCAUACUCAGUUAGGUACAACCAGUCAAAGGUAAACCAAUAGUUAGACAAUAACAGCUUUGACUGCUGUAAUCUUUAAUGUGAUUCAAAACAAGAUUAAGACCAUACCUUGGUAAUUGUGGAACCAAGAUGGCAGUGGGCACCCACAAGCUUCAGCUCGUUUGGAUGUGAUUUUACAGCAUCAAGAAACCACUGCAGCUUCUCAUUCCUAAUUCCAAACUUAGAGUUCUUGUUUCCCGUGGCAACAUAUGGAUGGACCUGAAUUUAAAAAAAAAAAAAAAAAAACCCACAAAAUUAGUCUGAGACUUUUUUAGGAGAAGGAAGGAACCAGAGACACACCAGCCAUAAUUCAUAUGAAAUGCACACAACAAAUACUGUAAAAAAAUUAGCUUGACAGAGAAUAGUAUGUAAGGUAUGAAAUGUAAAGGUCUUAUGAGUGGAAGAACCAAAACUACCUGAGGAUCCACGUCUGGAUUAAUACGAAGUAGGACAUUAACCUUCUUGCCAGCUAUUCUUGCAGCUGCAACUAUGUUCUCCAAGUCAAAUUCGCUGUCAACAUUGACAAAGACACCUUCUUGUGCUGCUAGAACCAAAUCUUCCAAGAGUUUCCCGUUUCCACCCACCAACAACUUCGUGUAAGCUGUUAUCCAAUUCAAUCAUUAAAAGAAGCACAAGCACACGAACUACUUAACAUAGACUAUCUUGCUAGACUCUGCAAUACUCGGCAGUCCUCGACGAGUUCAAAUCCUCAGUCAAGAGUCUAAGCCCUCCACACAAGAUCAUUGGAAAUUCAGAACCCAUUCGAGCAGCCGCAAAAUAUUGCCCGAUGAACCCCCAACCACAACGUCCGUAACCACAUAUUGGCUAGACUAUACUUAGUCUGAAGCAUUCCUCCCACAGAAAAGUUCCACGAUUUACACGUGAGACAAACUUGGGCAAGCUCACUCCCUCAUCAUCCACGAGCUAAAAAAGAGUAAACCCAUUUCUAGGACAGCCUGGCCUCCGAGAUCACACCCCCCGGGGGAGACAAUUAAGAACCAAAAAGGCAAGCCAACCCCAAUCAAUCAUUCGCAAUCGUUGGAAAGAGAGAGGGAAAGAAAGAAAAAAGAAAACUUUCUCGCAAAAUUGCACAACAAGACAUCCGCAUUUCGAUGCCGACCAAAUGGGCAUUAAGGGUUCGCGAUGCGAGGACGAUACCAGGUUUCGCUUCGAUAAUCAACCGAAACGAACAGCACGCAGAAGCGGAAGGAGCAAUCGGCUGUAACUGGGCUCCGAAGCGAAUCAUGAUCGGCCGCCAAGAAUCCCUCAAUCGGUCCCUCAAUCGGUCGCCCUCCCUGCUGCCAUCGCCGUCGCAGUCGCCGUCGCCGACCAAGACGAGACACGAGAGGAGAGGAGGAGACGGGAGUCGGGAGAGAUAAAAACAGUUUGUGGUUCAGUUCGGUUCGGUUAACGGAUAAAAGCCGAAUCAAUAAAAAAAUAUUAAUUUUUAAUGAGAAUCAAACCGAAAAAAUCGAAUUUUUCGGUUCGGAUUUCGGUUUGAUUCCUGACACCCCUACUCUCAGGUAGCCCUGGAGGCGGUGCCUUCUGUUCUAUACGUGCAGCGAGGCGAUUUGUGUGUAUACGACGAAAAGUCAAGCCAAAUAUUCCGAGACUCCACAUUACCUGGGUAAAAACAGUACUUAGUCCCCUUGGCCAAAUGGGAUAUAUGCCUGGAAAGAGCAAUAAUUUCAGCCUUUUAUGCCUCCACCGAAUUCCCUCUUUAACGGGUAAAACAGAAGAAUGCAUGGGGAAAUCCAGCCGAUGCUACGUAUGUAGUGGUAAAAGCCAUUUUUGCAUGAGGUUACAUGCAAGCCAGGAAAAAAUGGAAGUCGCAUGGUUCAACAAAUUGAGUACCAUACAAGCGUUGCGCCUCAAGAAGAUGAUCUUGAGUCAGUCUUCUCCUUAAAAGCUAAGACUAACUCCAAAAUCAGUCUGUGAUCUCCAGGCGUUACUUGAUACCAGCAACAAUGAUUAGACUAGUGACAAUAUAUAUAUCAUCACCCCUAUAAACCAAACCCUUGGAUAUCUAGAGCAUCCAAUCAUCUCCUCAUGUUCCAAUCUAUGUCUUCCCUACCAAGUAUGAUAAGCCUAUCCCAUUCAGAAAUACUAAGAUAGCAGCAGCAACGACUCAUGUAAAUUCUUCCUAAGAAACUUUGGGAAACCUAUGCCCAAUAUUUCCAGUCAGGUGGGGGGAAAGCUUUUGCUACUCAAUUGAGGGGCAAACCCUUUGAAAUACAAUUCGUCAUUAGUUGAGAUCUCCUAACCAAAUUGCCCAGAUUAAGACUUUUGCCUCGAGCAAUUCGAUUGAGAAGCCAAUUCCAACCUUUUGUUGACAUCCACAGGUUUAUCUAGCCCAAUCCUUUCAACUAAAACCAAUCAUUCAAACAUAAUGGUAGCCUAAACAGAUUUGCGCAAAUGUCCUCCUCGAUUGUGGAAAAAUCCAGAGUUCUUCCUUCAUCUUACUUUCAAGAAAAAUGAAGACAUUAAUCUGACCAAAGCCAAUCAUUUGGGAGAUGAACUGAGAACAUGCAAAGCUAGCCCUACAAGAAUGCCAUUAAUUAGUUCUGCAAAAUUUGACAAGAACCAUCAAAUUCCCAAUGGGUUUGUGUAGCACUCUUAGUCCUAAACAAGUCAGUGGAGAGGUGAGACUUGUUAUCAAUUAUUAGGUGAUCAACCGUUUCUGGUAGUAUGAUAAGUUUCACCUACCAAACAAGAACACCUUGUUUCUCAAAUCUCCUGUGAAUGAAUAUAGUCUCUAGAUUUGAUAUCAAAGCAGGACCUAGCGAUGGGAAUUCCCCCAUAAGAAAGGUCUAAAACAGGAUUUGUAUUCCGAAUCAACAUUUCCAAUAGAUGGUGAUGUUGUUUGGACUAAAAGGAGCACCUUCAUCUUCACUGUUUUCAGAACCUUCACUGUUUCAAGAAUACCAUGUGCAAGAUUUUCUAGCCCAUUCGCCAUGCGCUCUCAUCUACAUAGAUGAUAUUCUUGGGCAUGCAUCUCAAAGAUAGAAAGUUCAAGCUACGAGAACACAUUGCAGAGGAACUUUCGAAAUUUCAUAAUCAAUAUCUUUCUCAAAAAUAAAUUAUCUACCUUCGCAGAAGCUGCUACGGACUCAUACCAAAGUCAUCCAGGCUUGGAAAUAAAAGCUGCAGCACCUUCCGCCUCUACAAAUCCCUUCUCAUGGGAAGAGGAUUCUCCAAGCAGUUGCACAGCAGCACCUCAAAAAGUUAACUGCAACAUGUAGCAUGAUGGUGGGGUCAAUAGGUAAAUAGGAAAAAUUAUAAAAAUUAAUUGAAAUUUUUUUAAUUUGAGUGGGGUCCAUUUAAUGGUACAUUCUUAUUUGAAUAAAGUAUAACAAUAAUGGUGAGAGCGAAAUGCUUUGUCCCCUAACCUCCAACUAUCGACCAAGUGAUCAAAUGCUGGAAUCGGAUGUGAUAGAUGCCGUGUUCGAAUCUCGGUGUCUCACACUCAGGUAACCCUGGAGGCGGUGCCUUUUGUUCUAUAUGUGCGGCGAAGCGAUUUGUAUGUAUACAAAGGAAAGUCAAGCCAAAAUUUCCGAGACUCCAUAUUUUUUUUUUUUUUGUUAGUCCUACUCUAUUCCUACACUUCACUCACUCUCAGACUUUUGCCCUGCCUCUUGUAAGGCGUGAGAGUCGAAACCCAUUCCUGAAACUUACGCGUCCCCAUCCCAUCCCCCCUGAGAAUGUGGGGAUUUGAACCAGUCACCUCCCCCUUCCAUAUUAAUUGGGUAAAAAUAGUACUUAGUACCCUUGGCCAAAUGGCAUAUGUGCAGGAAGUGCAAGAAUUUCAGCCUUCUAUGCCUCCACCGAAUUCCCUCUUCAAUGGGUAAACAGAGAAUGCACGUCCAGGGGGAAUCCAGCAGAUGCUACGAAUGCAGUGGUAAAAGCCAUUUUGCAAGAGGUUCCGUGCAAGCCAGGAAAAAAUGGAAUUCGCUUGGUUCAACAAAUUGAGUACCAAACAAGCAUUGCGCUUCAAGAAGGUGGUCUUGAGUUAGGCUUCCCCUUAAAAGAUAAGACUAACUCCAAAAUCAGUAUGUGAUCUCCAGGCCUUACUUGAUACCAGUAACAAUGAUUAGACUAGUGAGAGUAUAUAUAUGAUCACCCCUAUAACCCAAACCCUUAGAUAUCUAGGGCACCCAAGCAUCUCCUCAUGUUCUAGUCUAUGUCUUCCCUACCAAGUAUGAUAAGCCCAUCCAACUCAGGAAUACUAAUGCGGCAGCAGCAGCAACUAAUGUAAAUUCUUCCUGAGAAACUUCAAGAAAACUAUGCCCGGUAUUUCUAGUCAGCUGGGCGGAAAGCUUUUGCUACUCAAUUGAGGGGCAAACCAUUUGAAAUACAAUUCGUCAUUAGUUGAGAUCUACUAACCGAAUUGCCCAUAUUAAGAUUAUAGCAUCAAGCAAUUCCAUUGAAAAGCCAAUUCCAACCUUUUGUUGGCAUCUACAUGUUUACCUAGCCUAAUCCUCUCAUCUAAAACCAAUCAUUCAAGCCAUAAUGGUAGCCUGAACAGAUUUGCGCAAAUGCUUUCUUCCAUUAUGGAAAAAUCUAGAGUUCUUCCUUUGUCUUACUUUCAAGAAAAAUGAAAAGACAUUAAUUCGACCAACACCAAUCAUUUGGGGUAUGAAUCUAGAACAUGCAAAGCUAGCCCUACAGGAAUGCCAUGAAUUACUUCCGCAAAAUUUGAUAAGAACCAUGGGUUUGUGUAGCAUUCUCAGUCCUAAACAAGUCAGUGGAGAUAUGAGACUUCUUAUCAAUUAUAAAGCGCUCAACCAUUUCUUGUAGGAUGAUAAGUUUCACCUACCAAACAAGAACACCUUGUUUCUCAAAUCUCCCAUGAAUGAAAAUAGUUUCUAGAUUUGAUAUCAAAGCAAGACUUGGCAAUGGGAAUUCCCCCAGAAGAAAGGUUUACAACAGGAUUUGUAUUCCGAACCAACAUUUCCAAUGGAUGGUGAUGUUGUUUGGACUUAAAAGGAGCACCUUCAUCUUCGCUGUUUUCGGAACCUUCACUAUUUCAAGAAGGCUAUGUGCAAGAUUUUCCAGUCCAUUCACCACACACUCUCAUCUACAUGGAUGAUAUUCUUGGGCAUGCAUCUCAAAGAUGGAAAGUUCAAGCCAUGAGAAGACAUUGCAAAGGAACUUUCGAAAUUUCCUAAUCAAUAUCUUCCUCAAACGCAAAUUAUCUACCUUUGCAGAAGCUGCUACCCUAAGUAGCACCGACACACGACACGGACACGCGACACGACACGACACGUCGACACGUCAUUUCUUAAAAAUAGAGAAUUCCGACAUAUUGGAACACGUUGUAUAUUAAAUGAAUAUUUUUAUUUUUAAUUAAUUUGAUUCAAAUUCAUAAAUAAAUAAUUAAUUAAAAAAAAAGAGCCUACAUUGAAUUUACACUAAUAAUAUUAAUAAAUCAAUUCAUUGAAAAUUCGAAAAACAUAUUCAUAGUUAAUGCGUAUCUAUGUUUGGAAACAUGUUUUUGACUUUAAAAAAAGUUAUUGACGAAACUAAUGAUUAAUAAGAAAUUAGAAUCAAUUUAUUUAAAUAAAUCCAUGAUCUUCUACAAAUGACCAAAAUUUAUCAUUAUUCAAAAUUCAGUAUUUUUAUUUUUCAAAAUUAUAUUUUAAUCUCAUUUAUUUAUUUUUACGUUUAAGAAAAAAGUCCCCACACCCCCAACUCCUUUCUUUCCCUCGUCCGUUUCCCUCCACCCCCAAAUUUAUUACACUUUUAUUUUCCUCCCCCACCACCUGACAGUGACGGAUAGGCUAUUACUUCCCCUCCCCCCAAAAUUAAAAGUCACGCCAUCAAAUCCUCUUUUUUAUUAUUUUUGAGUUUUCUUAUAAAUAACCCUAGCCAGCCCUCUUUUUCCUCCUCCUCCUCGCCGCUCGCCGCACAACCUCCUUCCUCUCCUCUUCCUCUUGAUCCUUCUCCUCCUCCUCGCCGCACGACCGCCUUCCUCUCCUCUUCUGUCUCUCGUCAUCUCUCGUCGUCGCGGGCUCGUCGUCUCUCACAGCCUCGUUUCUGCUCCCUCGCCCUCGCCUCCAUCCUCCAUCUUCCGGACAUGCAUGUCAAAACGUGUUUGAUCAUGUGUCGGAAAAUCCAACUAACGUUGACCGCAUGUCCGACCAUGUCCAAGCGGGUCAACAUGUCCGACACGUGUCGAACAUGACACGGAAGCACGGGCAAUGUGUCCGUGCUUCAUAGUUGCUACCUAAGUAGCACCGACACGCAACACAACACGUCGACACGUCAUUUCUCAAAAAUAGAGAAUUUCGACACAUUGUGACACAUUAUAUAUUAAAUGAAUAUUUUUAUUUUUAAUUAAUUUGAUUCAAAUUCAUAAAUAAAUAAUUAAUUAAAAGAGAGUUACAAUGAAUUUACACUAAUAAUAUUAAUAAAUCAAUUCAUUGAAAAUUCGAAAAACAUAUUCAUAGUUAAUGCGUAUCUAUGGAAACAUGUUUUUGACUUUAACAAAAGUUAUUGACGAAACUAAUGAUUAAUAAGAAAUUAAAAUUAAUUUAUUUAAAUAAAUCCAUGAUCUUCUACAAAUGACCAAAAUUGAUCAUUAUUCAAAGUUCAGUAUUUUCAUUUUUCAAAAUUAUUUUUUAAUCUCAUUUAUUUAUUUUUCCGUUUAAGGAAAAAGUCCCCACACCCCCAACUCCUUUCUUACCCUAGUCUGUUUCCCUCCUCCCCCAAAUUUAUUACACUUUUAUUUCCCUCCCCCACCACAUGACAGUGACAGAUAGGCCGUUACUUCCCCUUCCCCCAAAAUUAAAAGUCACACCAUCAUAUCCCCCUUUUUUUUUUUUUUUUGAGUUUUCUUAUAUAAAACCCUAGCCAACGCUCCUUUUCCUCCUCCUCGCCGCUCGCCACGCGACCCCCUUCCCUCUCAUCUUCCUCUCGAUCCUUCUCCUUCUCCUCCUCGCCACACGACCCCCUUCCUCUCCUCUUCCUCUUGAUCCUUCUCCUCCUCCUCGCCGCACGACCGCCUUCCUCUCCUCUUCCGUCUCUCGCCAUUUCUCGCAAUCGCAGGCUCGGCCGUCGCUCGCAACCUCAUCUCUACUCCCUCACCCUUGCCUCCACCCUCCAUCUUCUGGACACAAGUGUCAAAAUGCAUUUGACCAUGUGUCGGAAAAUCCAACACGCAUUGACCGCGUGUCCGAUCGUGUCCAAACAUGUCAACGCAUCGGACACGACACGGAAGCACAGGCAAUGUGUCCGUGCUUCAUAGGCUGCUACAGACUCAUACCAAAGCCAUCUGGGUUUAGAAAGAAAAGCUGCUGCACCUUCGCCUCUACAAAUCCCUUCUCAUGGGAGGAGGAUUCUCCAUAGUUGCACAGCAGCACCUUAAAAAUUUAACUGCAACACGUAGCAAAAUGGUGGGGUCAAUUGGUAAAUAGUAAAAGUUAUAAAAACUAAUUGAAAAAUAUUUAAAUUGAGUGGGGUCCAUUUAAUGGCACAUUCUUAUUUAAAUAAAGUAUAACAAUAAUGGAAUAAUUAUAUGAGUAAAAUAAAGCAUGAAGCAUAGAAUAUAUACUUCAUGAUUUAAUAACAAUUCAAAUACUAUGAUUUUGUUUGGUUCGUUAGAAUUGCUCCGAGGAAUAAUCUAUGUCCUUUAAUUAAGGUUAAAAAACGUUCCCCAUAUAGCUUAAACUGUAUGACCAUUAAAGCCAAAUUUUCUCUGCAUUUCCUUUUCAUUUCAUCCUAAAUUUGUGAGUUAUAACAAUAUUUUUCUAAUUGGCUGACAACGGUCUAUUGAUAUAAGCUCCAACACAUUUAUUUCUAAUUAGAGAUUAGAUAUGUGAUUUCUCAAUUACUCGCAUUAACAAGUAUGCCAUUAUCACAUUAUAUCAGAAUUGGUGAUAAUAUUAAAUUGCGAUUAAUUGGAAAAUCUUGUCAUUGGGAUCUGUCAAUUUGAUAAUGUUAAACUUACGCUAUUUAAGUUAAAUUGUGGAAUAAGUUAACAUUUUCAAUUUCUAUUUAAAUAAUAAUAACCAAAAUGACAAUAAUAGUAAUACUAACAAUAAUAUUUGUAAUUUUACCAAAAAAAAAAACAAUAAUAUUUGUAAAGACAUAAUAUACACAUAUGUAUAUGUACAUGUAUAUGUAUAUGUAUAGUGAACAGCUGAAGCUAUUAUAUUGGUCAAGUGUCAAGGGAUGACUCCUUUAGAUUUGGAGAAAAAUGCAACUUCAUUAGAAAGAUAAAUUGAAAACAAAAUAAUUAUUCCUUUCAAACAGACGCAUUCUAUAAGAAAAUAAUGGCUAGAUUCAUUUUUUAAAUGGUACGAUGAAUACAUCCAAUUACAUAUAUGGCAACUUAUUAAUUUUUUUUGUGAGAUCCAAUGAAAGUCCUAUUUCUCAUAUCUCGACAUGUGUAUUAAUACAAUUUCAAUAAUCUAAGAGCACGCUCGACGCAAAUGCUCUCGUAAUAUUCAAACAACUUGGAAAAAAAGGGCGAAGGUACUUAAACAAUGUCCGAUCAACUCCUCACACCUUAUAUUGUUUAGUUUGGAGAUAUCGGGACUUCUGUAAGAACGAAUAAGCUUUGCGAACAGCUGUCUUUUCAAGUUCAUAUUUGGAAAUGAUACUAAGGGGAACUUUUGAUAUUACACCCAAUACUAAACGCAAUUCAAAAAACAUCUUAAUCAGCUUUUAAAAUAAUUGGAAAUGGACUCACAAAAUCUCACAAAUUAUUCAUUAUAAAGACAAGCAUGACUCACAAUAUCUCACAAAAAAUUCAUUAACAGACGAGCAUGGGUGAUUCCAUGGCUCUGGCAAGGUAUUGUCACUCUAUAUUUCUUUCAUCUAAGCAGGAACGGUUUAAUGGUUGUUAGAGAGGUAUUGUCACUUCAUGUUCUUUCAUUUUCUCUUUUAAGCACGUUUGACAUUUGGAUUAGAGAUGUAGUUAUUUCCUAUGAUCCACUUAAAAGAAGUUAAGGGUGCAUUUAUUUUGCAGAAACUCAAGAUUUGAAAAACAUUUUUUGAAAAAUAAUUAAUUAUAUCACUUAGAAAAAUUAGUUAAUGGAAAUUUUUUUCAUUAUCGACAACAAUUUAUAUCUAAUUAUUUUCCUGGAUGAUGAAAAUCUAUUUAUUUCAUUAAUUUUUUUAAGUGAUACAAACAAUUGUCUUUUGAAAAUAUUUUUCAAAUUUAGAGUUUUUCGUGAAACAAAAGCACCUAUAUGAACCUUCUAGCACUUUUUUUCAUUUGGUUUAGAAGGAGAGUAUCUGCUUUUUAUAACAUUAGUAGUUUCUUUGCAUUAUUUGCUGUCUUGGUCAUUUCAUAUUCUGUUUGUGUUGGCAGCUCAACUUGCCAAGUAAAGUCAUCUCUUUCUUUGCAUUAUCUGCUGCCUUGGUCAUUUCAUAUUCAGUUUGUAUUGGCAGCUCAACUUGCCAAGUAAAGUCAUGUGUUUCACUUGAAAAAUCAGAUUAGUUAUUUACUGUGAGAUAUCAUCUGUUGACAAAUAAAUUUUGGCGAUCUAGUUAUUUGUUCAUAAAAAAUUAUGGAUUAAUUUUUAAGUUCUAAAAAAAAGAAAAUAAAAAGAAAAUAAAAAUUACAUCAGAGCAAAUAAAAGGAAAAUAAGAGAAGAAUCAAUCUGAUUGAUUAUGAAUGGAAGGUAGAAAUUUCGAUUAACUACCCUUGCUCCGGCGAAUAUUCAAAUCAUGGUAAUACUAUGGAAGCAAAUUAUUAGUCAAAGAAAUCAGGUGAAUGAAAAGGCAAGAAGUCUGGUAAAAGGCAAGGGAUUGAAGUAUUCGAGGAAAAAUCGAGCUGAUUGUUGAAAAAGAAAAAUCGAAAAAAUUCGUGCAGGAGAGUGAAAAAAGGAAGAGAGAAAAAGAAGCCCCCCUCCUCUGUACAAAGUCAAAAAGGCGUGGAGUUAUUUCCUUUAUUUUCACUGACCACUUGCAGAGAAGAAAGAAGCGAGCAGCAGUAAAGAGAGUGAGCAGAGAGAGAGGGAAAAGACAAAAAAACAUUAAAUUAAAAAAAAAAAAAAAGGAGUGUCUUCUUCCUUGGCUUCUGCCCGACGCCCCACCUGCGACCUCCGCCACCCUUCCGUCGCCGAGCGCCAUCCACCCUCCGCGCGCCUCCGCGCCUCUGCCGAGCGCCACCCAGCCGACGCCCCUGCCUCCCUCCUUCCGGCGAACCCACACCGCCGACGUUGCUGCACCACAGGAGCACCUCCGUCGCCGGCUGCAGCAGCUGCCUCUGCGAUCCGGCGCCUGACGCCUGCUGCCCUCUGCCCGAGCAUCUCUGUCUGCCGCUCAACACCGCCCCGACGCCUGCUCCUCCCGGCCACCACCGCUCCGUCUCUGCCUGUCCCCGACGACUACAGCCCUGACGACCGCGCCUGCAGCCCCGACGACGCGCCGCCAUCGCUCGCCUGCCACCACAGCAGCUCCGCCCGGCGUCCGACGUCCUCGCCCCUGCUGCCGCGCCCGUCGCCGACGCUCGCCCCUGCUGCUGCGACUCCGCCCGUCGCCGGCGCUUGCUGCCGACGCCUCCCUCUGCCCGGGCGCCGCCCACCAUCGCUGUUGCCUCUCCGUCCACAUACCAGCAGCACCACCCCGAAGCCUGUUGUGUUGAGUCACUUAGGUGGUUUAUUUUUAUUUUAUUUGUUAUUAUUUUUUUAAGUUUCGUUAUUAUUGCUUAAGUUGGAAGAUGGUAUGUUGAUGUUAAUUAUUUGAAUAUUUUAGGCAUUAUUUGUAGGGUUUUGUCCAAAAAUUACCAUAAUUACUAAUCUGAUCCAUAAGAUGUCAGAUCAUUUUUUAAUUAUAUUGAUUUUGAGGCAUUUUGAUAAUGUUUUGAUUAUUAAGUCAUUAUAAUUAUUAAUUUGGUUCGUAAGACUUCGGAUCAAAUUUCUAAUUAUUUUGAACUUUCUUAUAUGUUGUAAUGUUUAGGGUUAAAAUAAUCAUUAAUUUAAUUCAUGAGAUGAUGGAUUAUUUUUUCAAUUAUUUUAAUCUUUCGUUUGAUGAAUAUCUUGGUUAGUUUAGAUAUAAUGUUUAUAUGAUACUUGCUUGUCAUACACUAAUAAAAUAAAAAAAUCAAAUCUUGCAUUGGAACAUGUUCGUUUCGUAAAUUAUGAUUGCAUUUUUAGAUUAAAUGUUUAGAUAAUUUUUGGAAUAGAUUAGGGUUGGAUUUAAAUAACAUUUUAUAGAUGGGGUCUUAGAUAAUGUUUGCACAUUUUAAUAAUCAUUUUUCUUUUAAAAAAUAGUUUUUUUAAGGUAAGAUAGGGUUUAAGUAAAAUUAACCCCUAAAAUAGAUUAGAAAUUAUUCAUUUUAAAUAAUUUAAUUAGUUUUUUAUUACGAAUUUUAAAAAAAAAUACAAAAAUAUUAGGUGCAUGUCUCAUAGUUCGCAUGUUAGGUUCAUUUAAUUGGAACUUGCUUGUUAGUAAAGUUAGGUCAUAUAGUUAAAGGGCAUAAUAUAUAGGUACGUUUUAAUUUCAAGAUAAGAAAAAAUCCAAAAAAAAAAAUAAUUACUUACUUUAGUGUGUUGAAAUCCUUUAGUGCAAUUUAUUUUAUUCAAAAUUUAAUAAUGGUUGAGCAUCCGUGUAAUCACCCCAUUGCAUGAUAGUGAUUUAGGUUAAAUAAAUCUAAAUUGCAUGCAAAAAAAUAUUUUUGAAAAUAAAAGAAUAGUACGGAAAUGGUAUUAGAGAAAUCUAGUGUCCUCGUACCCAAAGUCUCUGGUUCGUAGUACUUCGGUGUCUAAUUGACCUACCGUAAAUUGAUUAGAGACAACUCCUAGAUAAAAUCCGUUUAAAAAGAAAAAAACUUGAAUCUAAGGGUGCGUUUGGCUGGCACCUAUUUCUGUUCCCAGGAACAAAAAUUUCUGUUUUUUUGUUCUUUUGUUCCCAGAAACAAAAAGGAAAUAGAAAUAAGAAACAAAAAAUUCUUGUUUCUUAUUUCCGAAACAUAUUUAAGGAACAAAAAAGAAACAAAAUGGUGUUCUCCUGCGACCCUCUCCUCCUGCAAGCGUCUCCACCGUCGUCUUCUCCGGUGCCUCCCACUCUCCGACGCCGACAGCCGCCUCUGUCUCGAGACCAUCCAGCCUCUCCACCGUCGUCCUCUCCGGCACCGACAGCCGCUGCGAGCGUCUCCACUUGUGAGCGGGUGACGUAGCUGGGUCGUGGGUUGCUAGGCUGCGACGGCGGCUGCGGUGCGGGGCUUGGCCGUGGGGUCUCGACUAGCGGACGUCUAGGAGUGGAGCGGCGAGGACGGCCGGUCGAGUCGUGGGCCGGCGCGAGGUCGACGAUCGAGUGGAUCUCGAAGUCGUGGGUCACGGCGCAGUGAGAUCUGAUGCGGCGGUGGCGAACGAAGGCUCGAGACCUGCAAAUGCGUCGAUCGGGCGUGAGGCGGAGAGGCGGUCACCGAUGCGAUGGCGGCGAGGAGGCGUCGAGCGCGGUCGCCGAUGCGGUGGAGGGAGACGACGGUGUGGCUCUAGGUCACCGUCGGCACGGCGUGGCAAGGCCGACCUCGCGCCUAGCUGGGUGAGCUCGAUCUCGCCCAGAUUCGACGAGGCCGAGCUCGCCCAGCGGCCGGCGAGCCUCGUCGAGGGCCGGCGAGCCUCGCCAUGGCUGGGCGAGGCCGCCGGCCCUCGUCGGCCGGCGACCGGCCAAAAGAAGAAAAAAGGAAAAAGGAAAAAGAAAAAAAAAAGAAAAAAAGGAAAAAUAAAUAAGAAAAAUAAGAAAGAAAAUAUAAAAUUAAAAUAAAAAUAUUAAAAAAUUAAAAGAAAUAAAAAAAUUAUACAAACUUACCAAGCGUGUUUCUAUUUUUUUUAUAUUUCUAAAACAGAUUUACCAAACGCGUUUUUUUGUUCAAAAAUUGUUCCCUGGAGCAAAAACAUUUUUUUUUUUAUUUCUGUUCCCAGAAACAAUUUUUAAACAGAAACGUUACCAAACGCACCAUAAGUUGCAAAUUGAUAUAGGCUUGAAUUGGUAUGGGUUUAGGAGAGUCGAGCUAAGUUUAAGACUUAGUAGUCUAUUAACCUAAAACCUUAGGUGGUGCACCUAAAAUUUAGGUCGCGACAGCAUCUAUUCACCACGAAUUAUUGACGAAUUUUACCGAUCAACACUUCGUUGAAGUGCUUGCGCCUUCCCUUCAACUUCAAAGUCAUCAUGCCAUCUUCAAGCAAGCACAUAUUAAUAAGAAUCCUCUGAAUUCUUCAAACUUAAUUGGGAGAAGUUUAGAGAUGGAAGAUCUGCAAGGUCUUUACAAAUACAAAUCAGAUAUAAGUCCGAAGAUUAUUUUGCCUCUUGAAUAAAUUGCUUUCAUGGACAAGCAUUGUCACAGAGAAAGAAGACUGCAGAACUUUAGUGGCACAAAAGGUCAGCAUUAUUUGAUAAUAGUUUUCCUUUUUUGUUUGGGUUACCACUUUAUUGACACAUACAGCAUUAACAGCUUGGUGAACUAAACUCUAGCAUCUGCGGGUAACGGAAACAUGGAGACCUCCAUCGAUGUGAAGAGUGAUCAUCGUUCUGUAGUGGACAGGUUUCUCUUCAUCAGCCAAUUUGAACGUAAAACAGCUCAGCAACACGGCGGAGAAUAUCUUCAUCUGCCAAUAAGCGAAUUCUUUACCGAGACAAAUCCUUGGUCCAGCCUGCUAAGCAACAACGGAUGCUAAGAUAAACAAAACUUAAGGAAAAAAGAAGAAGAAAAAGAACUGGGUUGCUACUUGCUAAGUUGAAUAUUCGAAUAGUCUUUGUCCUUGAUCUGAGAGAACUUGAGUGUAGGUGUUCAUAUAGAGAUGAAGAUCGGGAGAAGAAGCGUACGAGAUGAUGCACGUAAUCUUGUUCCUAUCCAGAUUACUUAAUUCUGGCAAUACGCCAAUAUAAAGGUCCAACUGAAGGCGCGUGCAGUGAAUGAAGGUUCAGCCCAGGUUAAUGCCAAUGAAUUUAAGUGCAUUUUUUUCUGACCUGAAAGGCUGUAAACUUGAAAGGGCUUUCAGGCUGGAACACUCCAUUUGAAUCCAGCCAUCUCUCUGGAUGAAAAUCUUCUGCAUCAUCGCCCCAUAUGAAUUUCAUCCUGCCCAUUGCAUACGGCUGAAAGGAUACCAUAUCUCCUUUCCUCACAUUGAACCCAUCUGGGAAAACAUCAUCAGAAAAGCAGAUUUUUGCAUCCUGAUUGAACAAUAAUUUCAAAAUUUAUUGGAAAAGCCAACAGACAUGUCUAAAUUGAAAAGCGAAUUGAUAGCAACUGUAACAAAAUUAAAGAAUAAGAUCACAAGAGCUUAAGAAAAAGAAUUCUAACUAAUCAUCUUUGUUAUCAUUUUCCAUGUGAAAAAAGAAGGGGUUUGAACGCUUUUGUGCAAGCUAAGAUGAUGGAAGGGUUGAGGCUUGAGCAUGGUUCUACUUCCCGAAGAAAAAUGACCUUUACCUCGUAGGCCAACCCUUAAAAGUUCAAAGCUAAUGUGACUAACCACUGGGAAUUAGAUAACUCGAUAAUGCAAACUUAUAUAUCUUUUACGAAUAAAUUUAGGAUCACAAGCUUUCCAUGGACUGUGCAGAAAAAAAAAAUCGAGAUAUUCCUCACAAAUGGAACUGCAGGAUAGAGCCGGAGAGUUUCCGUUAUCGUUGCAUGGAGGUAGUGCAUCUUUUCUAGAGCCUCUUCCCCCAUACUCGCAGCAAAAUUGGCAAAAUCUGAAAUCUCUUCGACGUUGCUCAUUUGUUUCACUUCUUGUGCAACCUUCUCUUGUAUCGUUGGAUGUUUGCAGAGCAUGUAGAUGAACCAGGAAAGCGUGGCUGCAGUUGUGUCUUUGCCAGCAAUAAUGAGGUUGAGUAUUAUAUCCCGCAAGUAUGUCUGGUCAGUCUCUGUCACUUGGAGAAACCUAGACAAUAUGUCUUCUUUCUUCAUCUGCAAGUUCCAUGCAACAUUCCGUCAUGAUAUUUCCAUUAAGAAGUGGAGCUGG